UUAGAGGAAGUAAAAGUCGUAACAAGGUUUCCGUAGGUGCAUGGUUCGCCUACCGGUGCCCCGCAGCGACUCUAAAGAACUGCCCAGUCAGCGAUCCACGGUCGCUGGCGACGCCACCAAUCUGCGCUGGGAGCGCCCGAAUGCGGGCGUGACCAGCAGCUCCUCUGGAGUUCACAGGUCAAACGGUUGCGGCCUCCUUCGGGUGGUUUUGAUAUGAUCGGCCCCAGCCGUUGGACCCACGGUUGGCGAAGUUUGCGGAACCUGCGGAAGGAUCAUUA
This 278-nucleotide ribosomal RNA is filed under the name Kuettlingeria atroflava. Its description in RNAcentral is "Caloplaca atroflava partial 18S ribosomal RNA". The record is from RNAcentral. Lineage: Eukaryota; Fungi; Ascomycota; Lecanoromycetes; Teloschistales; Teloschistaceae.